RNAcentral lists this ribosomal RNA (436 nucleotides) under uncultured Saccharofermentans sp. Its description in RNAcentral is "partial 16S ribosomal RNA". It matches the Rfam family "Bacterial small subunit ribosomal RNA", at positions 341 to 792 of the family's 1533-position model. The record is from RNAcentral. Lineage: Bacteria; Bacillati; Bacillota; Clostridia; Eubacteriales; Oscillospiraceae.
ACGGAAGGCAGCAGUGGGGGAUAUUGCGCAAUGGGGGAAACCCUGACGCAGCAACGCCGCGUGAAGGAAGAAGGUUUUCGGAUUGUAAACUUCUUUGAUCAGGGACGAAAUUUUGACGGUACCUGAAGAACAAGUCACGGCUAACUACGUGCCAGCAGCCGCGGUAAUACGUAGGUGACAAGCGUUAUCCGGAUUUACUGGGUGUAAAGGGCGUGUAGGCGGUUUGGCAAGUCAGAAGUGAAAUUCCCGGGCUUAACUUGGGCGCUGCUACUGAAACUGCUUAACUUGAGUACUGGAGAGGAUAGUGGAAUUCCUAGUGUAGCGGUAAAAUGCGCAGAUAUUAGGAGGAACACCGGUGGCGAAGGCGGCUAUCUGGACAGUAACUGACGCUGAGGCGCGAAAGCACGGGGAGCAAACAGGAUUAGAUACCCUGGUA